RNAcentral lists this ribosomal RNA (547 nucleotides) under Dialister sp. oral clone 9N-7. RNAcentral's name for it is "bacterial SSU rRNA". It matches the Rfam family "Bacterial small subunit ribosomal RNA", at positions 8 to 521 of the family's 1533-position model. Lineage: Bacteria; Bacillati; Bacillota; Negativicutes; Veillonellales; Veillonellaceae. The record is from RNAcentral.
AGAGUUUGAUCCUGGCUCAGGACGAACGCUGGCGGCGUGCUUAACACAUGCAAGUCGAACGAGAGGAGAAGAGAAGCUUGCUUCUUUUCGAAUCGAGUGGCAAACGGGUGAGUAACACGUAAACAACCUGCCUUCAGGAUGGGGACAACAGACGGAAACGACUGCUAAUACCGAAUACGCUCAAUGGGCCGCAUGGCCUAUUGAGGAAAGGGUGGCCUCUACCUGUAAGCUAUCGCCUGAAGAGGGGUUUGCGUCUGAUUAGGCAGUUGGUGAGGUAACGGCCCACCAAACCUACGAUCAGUAGCCGGUCUGAGAGGAUGAACGGCCACACUGGAACUGAGACACGGUCCAGACUCCUACGGGAGGCAGCAGUGGGGAAUCUUCCGCAAUGGGCGAAAGCCUGACGGAGCAACGCCGCGUGAGUGAUGACGGCCUUCGGGUUGUAAAGCUCUGUGAUCGGGGACGAACGGUUGCAGGAAUAAUAUUCCUGUGAAGUGACGGUACCCGAAUAGCAAGCCACGGCUAACUACGUGCCAGCAGCCGCGGU